RNAcentral lists this unclassified non-coding RNA (243 nucleotides) under uncultured Ascomycota. RNAcentral describes it as "sequence contains ITS2". The stretch from base 1 to 52 matches the Rfam family "5.8S ribosomal RNA", at positions 103 to 154 of the family's 154-position model. The record is from RNAcentral. Lineage: Eukaryota; Fungi; Ascomycota.
AACGCACAUUGCGCCCUCUGGUAUUCCGGGGGGCAUGCCUGUUCGAGCGUCAUUACAACCCUCAAGCUUUGCUUGGUAUUGGACGUCACCUGUACUGGUGCGCCCCAAAAUCAGUGGCGGUGCCAUCUGGCUUCGAGCGCAGUAAAUCAUCUCGCUCUGGAGACUCCAGCUGUGUACCUGCCAGCAACCCCUAAUUUAUCAAAGGUUGACCUCGGAUCAGGUAGGGAUACCCGCUGAACUUAA